CUACUCCUCCUUAAAUUUUAGUCUGAUUUCAAUAUAACUUGGCACACAAGUAGACUAUACUAAGAUACAUAAUUCUGUGCAUCAGUUUUUGAUAAGUACAAACCAGUAGAGCUACAGUCUCGACAGAGACUUCUGGUUAUUUUUUUCUUCCAUCCCGGUUGUUGCUAAUGCUAUUACAUAAUUAGUUUAAAUUAGAAUGCAAUAGUACCUGGACAUAAUUUAUCAUUUCAGAGAGAAGAAAACUGUGUGACUUUAAAAGAAAACCAGUGAGAUAAAAUCAUAGAAAAUGUAUGAUGAUUCAGGGUGUGGUCAUUUGGUCCUGUUCUGUGGAUGCCCUAAGACAGUGUCUACCCAUCACUCCAUCUGAUAUCACUUGUUCUGUGCAUAUUUCUCUCUCAAACUUAAACUACAGAGAACCUGUGGAUAGAGGAUGAAGAGUGACCUUGAACUAAUUUUCUAGGUCAAAGAUCAUAGGUGAUGUGAAGAAAACCAGGAAACUGAUGUUGAAAGAAGUACUUAAUGACUCUUAUGAAUGGACUUAAAUGUGAAAGACUGUUCCAUUGUUUAUCUAAGAUAUAUGAAUUUAUUUAAUAUUUUGAUAUCAUUGAAAAAUUCAGUUACAGUUUUUGUACAUCAAAUGAAUUAUUAAACAUAUAAAAUGGUAA
Long non-coding RNA from Saccostrea cuccullata (small rock oyster), 665 nucleotides. RefSeq lists it as uncharacterized. Lineage: Eukaryota; Metazoa; Mollusca; Bivalvia; Ostreida; Ostreidae. The record is from RefSeq and is a predicted model, not a curated record. The transcript is spliced from 3 exons.